GAUGAACGCUGGCGGCGUGCCUAACACAUGCAAGUCGAGCGAACAGACGAGGCUUUUGCUCCUCUGACGUUAGCGGCGGGCGGGUGAGUCACAUGAGUAUACCCUACCUAUAUGACUGAGAUCACUUCGGGACAGCGGAUCUAACACCCGAUAAUAUAUUGAACCGCAUGGUUCGUUGGAGAACGACGGUUUUGCUGUCACUACUAGAUGGUUCCCGGCCGCAUUAGCUAGUUGGUACGGUAACGGCUUACCAAGGCUACGAUGCGUAGCCGACCUGAGAGGGUGAUCGGCCACACUGGAACUGAGACACGGUCCAGACUCCUACGGGAGGCAGCAGUAGGGAAUCUUCGGCAAUGGGCGAAAGCUUGACGCAGCAACGCCGCGUGUGUGAUGAAGGUCUUCGGAUCGUAAAGCUCUGUUAUUAGGGAAGAACAAAUGUGUAAGUAACUAUGGACGUAUUGACGGUACCUAAUGAAAAAGCAACGGCUAACUACGUG
RNAcentral lists this ribosomal RNA (497 nucleotides) under uncultured bacterium. RNAcentral describes it as "partial 16S ribosomal RNA". It matches the Rfam family "Bacterial small subunit ribosomal RNA", at positions 28 to 507 of the family's 1533-position model. The record is from RNAcentral.